ACAGAGGGUGCGAGCGUUGUCCGGAAUCACUGGGCGUAAAGGGCGCGUAGGUGGCCUGGUAAGUAGGGGGUGAAAUCUCGAGGCUCAACUUCGAGGCUGCCUCCUAAACUGUCAGGCUUGAGCAGAGUAGAGGCAGGUGGAAUUCCCGGUGUAGCGGUGGAAUGCGUAGAGAUCGGGAAGAACAUCGGUGGCGAAGGCGGCCUGCUGGGCUCUUGCUGACACUGAGGCGCGACAGCGUGGGGAGCAAACAGGAUUAGAUACCCUGGUAGUCCACGCCGUAAACGAUGGGUACUAGGCGCCGGGGGGAGCGACCCCUUCGGUGCCGUCGCUAACGCAAUAAGUACCCCGCCUGGGGAGUACGGCCGCAAGGCUG
Molecule: ribosomal RNA, 373 nt
Filed under: uncultured bacterium
Lineage: Bacteria
Description: bacterial SSU rRNA
Rfam family: Bacterial small subunit ribosomal RNA
Source: RNAcentral